RNAcentral lists this ribosomal RNA (200 nucleotides) under uncultured bacterium. RNAcentral describes it as "partial 16S ribosomal RNA". It matches the Rfam family "Bacterial small subunit ribosomal RNA", at positions 8 to 209 of the family's 1533-position model. The record is from RNAcentral.
AGAGUUUGAUCCUGGCUCAGAACGAACGUUAGCGGCGCGCUUAACACAUGCAAGUCGCACGAGAAAGGGCUUCGGCCCCGGUAAAGUGGCGCACGGGUGAGUAACACGUGGGUAACCUUCCCUCUUGCGGGGGAUAACCUUCCGAAAGGAGGGCUAAUACCGCAUAAGACCACGGGCUGUGAUGCCUGAGGUUAAAGCAG